RNAcentral lists this ribosomal RNA (497 nucleotides) under uncultured bacterium. RNAcentral describes it as "partial 16S ribosomal RNA". It matches the Rfam family "Bacterial small subunit ribosomal RNA", at positions 28 to 507 of the family's 1533-position model. The record is from RNAcentral.
GAUGAACGCUGGCGGCGUGCCUAAUACAUGCAAGUCGAGCGAACAGACGAGGAGCUUGCUCCUCUGACGUUAGCGGUGGACGGGUGAGUAACACGUGGAUAACCUACCUAUCAGACUGGGAUAACUUCGGGACACCGGAGCUAAUACCGGAUAACAUGUUGAACCGCAUGGUUCAACAGUGAAAGACGGUCUUGCUGUCACUUAUCGAUGGAUCCGCGCCGCAUUAGCUAGUUGGUAAGGUAACGGCUUACCAAGGCAACGAUGCGUAGCCGACCUGAGAGGGUGAUCGGCCACACUGGAACUGAGACACGGUCCAGACUCCUACGGGAGGCAGCAGUAGGGAAUCUUCCGCAAUGGGCGAAAGCCUGACGGAGCAACGCCGCGUGAGUGAAGAAGGUCUUCGGAUCGUAAAACUCUGUUAUUAGGGAAGAACAAAUGUGUAAGUAACUAUGCACGUCUUGACGGUACCUAAUCAGAAAGCCACGGCUAACUACGUG